RNAcentral lists this ribosomal RNA (256 nucleotides) under uncultured bacterium. RNAcentral's name for it is "partial 16S ribosomal RNA". It matches the Rfam family "Bacterial small subunit ribosomal RNA", at positions 524 to 777 of the family's 1533-position model. The record is from RNAcentral.
UACGUAGGGUGCAAGCGUUAAUCGGAAUUACUGGGCGAAAGCGUGCGCAGGCGGUUUUGUAAGUCUGACGUGAAAUCCCCGGGCUCAACCUGGGAAUUGCGUUGGAGGCUGCAAGGCUAGAAUCUGGCAGAGGGGGGUAGAAUUCCACGUGUAGCAGUGAAAUGCGUAGAUAUGUGGAGGAACACCGAUGGCGAAGGCAGCCCCCUGGGCUAGCACGUGACGCUCAGGCACGAAAGCGUGGGGGAGCCAAACGGGG